GACGAACGCUGGCGGCGUGCUUAACACAUGCAAGUCGAACGGAAAGGCCCUGCUUUUGUGGGGUGCUCGAGUGGCGAACGGGUGAGUAACACGCGAGUAACCUGCCCUUGACUUUGGGAUAACUUCAGGAAACUGGGGCUAAUACCCGAUAGGAGCUCCUGCAGCACGGUGGGGGUUGGUAAGUUUCGGCGGUUGGGGAUGGACUCGCGGCUUAUCGGCUUGUUAGUGGGGUAGUGGCUGACCAAGGUUGUGACGGGUAGCCGGCAUGAGAGGGGGACCGGGCACAUGGGGACUACGGGAGGGCCCAGACUGCUACGGGAGGCAACAGUGGGAAAUAUUGCACAAUGGGCGGAAGCCUGAUGCAGCAACGCCGCGAGCGGGAUGACGGCCUACGGGUUGUAAACCGAUGUCGCCUGUGACGAAGCGUGAUUGACGGUAAUGAGUAAGGAAGCACCGGCUAACUACGUG
This 468-nucleotide ribosomal RNA is filed under the name uncultured bacterium. RNAcentral describes it as "partial 16S ribosomal RNA". It matches the Rfam family "Bacterial small subunit ribosomal RNA", at positions 28 to 507 of the family's 1533-position model. The record is from RNAcentral.